RNAcentral lists this ribosomal RNA (617 nucleotides) under Streptomyces sp. RNAcentral's name for it is "bacterial SSU rRNA". It matches the Rfam family "Bacterial small subunit ribosomal RNA", at positions 261 to 873 of the family's 1533-position model. Lineage: Bacteria; Bacillati; Actinomycetota; Actinomycetes; Kitasatosporales; Streptomycetaceae. The record is from RNAcentral.
AUGACUACCAAGGCGACGACGGGUAGCCGGCCUGAGAGGGCGACCGGCCACACUGGGACUGAGACACGGCCCAGACUCCUACGGGAGGCAGCAGUGGGGAAUAUUGCACAAUGGGCGAAAGCCUGAUGCAGCGACGCCGCGUGAGGGAUGACGGCCUUCGGGUUGUAAACCUCUUUCAGCAGGGAAGAAGCGAGAGUGACGGUACCUGCAGAAGAAGCGCCGGCUAACUACGUGCCAGCAGCCGCGGUAAUACGUAGGGCGCAAGCGUUGUCCGGAAUUAUUGGGCGUAAAGAGCUCGUAGGCGGCUUGUCACGUCGGUUGUGAAAGCCCGGGGCUUAACCCCGGGUCUGCAGUCGAUACGGGCAGGCUAGAGUUCGGUAGGGGAGAUCGGAAUUCCUGGUGUAGCGGUGAAAUGCGCAGAUAUCAGGAGGAACACCGGUGGCGAAGGCGGAUCUCUGGGCCGAUACUGACGCUGAGGAGCGAAAGCGUGGGGAGCGAACAGGAUUAGAUACCCUGGUAGUCCACGCCGUAAACGGUGGGCACUAGGUGUGGGCAACAUUCCACGUUGUCCGUGCCGCAGCUAACGCAUUAAGUGCCCCGCCGGGGGGGGAGUACGG